RNAcentral lists this transfer RNA (71 nucleotides) under Marmota monax (woodchuck). Its description in RNAcentral is "tRNA.Ala". The record is from RNAcentral. Lineage: Eukaryota; Metazoa; Chordata; Mammalia; Rodentia; Sciuridae.
GGGGUUGUGGCUCAGUGGUAGAGUGCUCACCUAGCUUGUAUGAGGCACUGGGUUCAAUCCUCAGCACCACA